GAUGAACGCUGGCGGCGUGCCUAACACAUGCAAGUCGAACGGAGAGGUGAUGUGUGCGGUUGAAUUGCUUGCAAGGAAACCAAACUUUUCAUUUUCUUAGUGGCGGACGGGUGAGUAACGCGUGGAUAACCUGCCUCGAUCCGGGGGAUAGCAGUUGGAAACGACUGGUAAUACCGCAUGAGCGCACACUGUGGCAUCACAGAGUGUGAAAAGGUUUAACGGGACGAGAUGGAUCCGCGUCUGAUUAGCCAGUUGGCGGGGUAACGGCCCACCAAAGCGACGAUCAGUAGCCGGCCUGAGAGGGCGGACGGCCACAUUGGGACUGAGACACGGCCCAGACUCC
Molecule: ribosomal RNA, 343 nt
Filed under: uncultured Butyrivibrio sp.
Lineage: Bacteria; Bacillati; Bacillota; Clostridia; Lachnospirales; Lachnospiraceae
Description: bacterial SSU rRNA
Rfam family: Bacterial small subunit ribosomal RNA
Source: RNAcentral